Molecule: unclassified non-coding RNA, 345 nt
Filed under: soil metagenome
Description: partial contains 5.8S ribosomal RNA, internal transcribed spacer 2, and large subunit ribosomal RNA
Rfam family: 5.8S ribosomal RNA (bases 1-120)
Source: RNAcentral
GAUGAAGAACGUAGCGAAAUGCGAUAAGUAAUGUGAAUUGCAGAAUUCAGUGAAUCAUCGAAUCUUUGAACGCACAUUGCGCCCCUUGGUAUUCCGAGGGGCAUGCCUGUUCGAGCGUCAUUGCUGCCCUCAAGCACGGCUUGUGUGUUGGGCCUCCGUCCUCCUCCCGGGGGACGGGCCCGAAAGGCAGCGGCGGCACCGCGUCCGGUCCUCGAGCGUAUGGGGCUUCGUCACCCGCUCUUGUAGGCCCGGCCGGCGCUUGCCGACACAUCAAUCUUUUUUCCAGGUUGACCUCGGAUCAGGUAGGGAUACCCGCUGAACUUAAGCAUAUCAAUAAGCGGAGGA